RNAcentral lists this ribosomal RNA (430 nucleotides) under Pseudomonadota bacterium. RNAcentral's name for it is "Proteobacteria bacterium partial 16S ribosomal RNA". It matches the Rfam family "Bacterial small subunit ribosomal RNA", at positions 355 to 776 of the family's 1533-position model. Lineage: Bacteria; Pseudomonadati; Pseudomonadota. The record is from RNAcentral.
UGGGGAAUAUUGGACAAUGGGGGGAACCCUGAUCCAGCCAUGCCGCGUGUGUGAAGAAGGCCUUAUGGUUGUAAAGCACUUUAAGCGAGGAGGAGGGUACUGGUAUUAAUACUACCAGCUACUGGACGUUACUCGCAGAAUAAGCACCGGCUAACUCUGUGCCAGCAGCCGCGGUAAUACAGAGGGUGCGAGCGUUAAUCGGAUUUACUGGGCGUAAAGCGUGCGUAGGCGGCUAAUUGAGUCGGAUGUGAAAUCCCCGAGCUUAACUUGGGAAUUGCAUUCGAUACUGGUUAGCUAGAGUGUGGGAGAGGAUGGGAGAAUUCCAGGUGUAGCGGUGAAAUGCGUAGAGAUCUGGAGGAAUACCGAUGGCGAAGGCAGCCAUCUGGCCUAACACUGACGCUGAGGUACGAAAGCAUGGGGAGCAAACAGG